This 393-nucleotide ribosomal RNA is filed under the name uncultured bacterium. Its description in RNAcentral is "bacterial SSU rRNA". It matches the Rfam family "Bacterial small subunit ribosomal RNA", at positions 32 to 417 of the family's 1533-position model. The record is from RNAcentral.
AAUCAACGCUGGCGGCGUGCCUCAGACAUGCAAGUCGAACGAUUAAAGCUCCCUUCGGGGAGUGCAUAGAGUGGCGCACGGGUGAGUAACACGUAAGUAAUCUACCUUUGAGUGGGGAAUAACGUUCGGAAACGGACGCUAAUACCGCAUAAUGCAGCGGCAUCGCAAGAUGACAGUUGUUAAAGGAGCAAUCCGCUUAAAGAGGAGCUUGCGGCAGAUUAGCUUGUUGGUAAGGUAACGGCUUACCAAGGCUACGAUCUGUAUCCGGUCUAAGAGGACGGUCGGACACACUGACACUGAAUAACGGGUCAGACUCCUACGGAGGCAGCAGUCGGAAUAUUGGACAAUGGGCGCAAGCCUGAUCCAGCGAUGCCGCGUGUGUGAAGAAGGCCU